This 447-nucleotide ribosomal RNA is filed under the name uncultured bacterium. RNAcentral describes it as "bacterial SSU rRNA". It matches the Rfam family "Bacterial small subunit ribosomal RNA", at positions 355 to 825 of the family's 1533-position model. The record is from RNAcentral.
UGGGGAAUCUUGGACAAUGGGCGCAAGCCUGAUCCAGCCAUGCCGCGUGAGUGAAGAAGGCCUUCGGGUUGUAAAGCUCUUUUACCAGGGACGAUAAUGACGGUACCUGGAGAAUAAGCCCCGGCAAACUUCGUGCCAGCAGCCGCGGUAAUACGAAGGGGGCUAGCGUUGUUCGGAAUUACUGGGCGUAAAGCGCACGUAGGCGGAUUGUUAAGUCAGAGGUGAAAUCCCGGAGCUCAACUUCGGAACUGCCUUUGAUACUGGCAAUCUAGAGUCCGGAAGAGGUUAGUGGAAUUCCCAGUGUAGAGGUGAAAUUCGUAGAUAUUGGGAAGAACACCAGUGGCGAAGGCGGCUAACUGGUCCGGUACUGACGCUGAGGCGCGAAAGCUAGGGGAGCAAACGGGAUUAGAUACCCGAGUAGUCCCUGAGCGGGCUGGCAAGGCGCAU